This 1110-nucleotide long non-coding RNA is filed under the name Glycine max (soybean). RNAcentral's name for it is "long non-coding RNA (GMAX_LNC003907)". Lineage: Eukaryota; Viridiplantae; Streptophyta; Magnoliopsida; Fabales; Fabaceae. The record is from RNAcentral.
GGUGAAACUUUUGUGAAGAACUUAUCUGUUUAUAUUAUUUUUUAUUCAGUUAUCCUACACCUACAUAACUUAGUAGUUGUUUUUUUUUAUAAAAAAAAAAUUGGAUAGAAAAUGGUUUUUGAUUGCUUGGUUGGCUUUCUAUAUUUACCCUCAUCCUCCUAUGACUUUAUUUUUUGCGUUUUUGGGUGCGAACUAAUUGCUGGGGUAAAGUGAAAUGCAGGAGCAAAACUGAAAUUGAUCUCCGAUUUACUGAAUUUAGAGCAGAUAAUUGAGAUCCACUAUGACAAGAGCCCAAAUGCAUAUAUCUUUGCCGGGACAUAAUGACAUUUGUUGCGUUUGCAAGUGCUUUUCAAUGUUCUCGUUCUGUUUGUAAAUCCCCAAACCUAGGUGUAAGUUCUGUGAUGAGUAGCAAGCAAGUGGGUCUUCUAUGUUCUAAGUUUCAUAUCUCUAUUAGGCUAUUGAUAAGUGUACCUCCGCCAAUUAGAAUUUUACCUCCCUUUUCCUUUUUGCUUAUAUUUUAUUAUCCAAAAUACACUUUUGUACCCCCUUUUUCCUAGUGAGGGUCAUCCACGUGAACAAUUUUUAGACCCACCUGAACAAUUUCAGAAUGGCAUUGCAUAAUAAUGAGGACCACGGUGUUCUUUCCACAUUGGUGACUAUUUCUGCAUCAAGAGUUCCAAUUGUUAGAAAACCUUCAAAGAGCACAAAGAUGAUUCUACAUGUUUCUUCUUGGGACUUAUCUUCUUCUCUAUUUAACAUUUCAAAACCCAACUUCACGUACAAUUGAUAAAUAUAAUGGAAAGGAAGAUAAAGUCCAACACCACCCAAGUCGACCCUUGAUUAAAAACGAAAUCCAGCACAACAAUAACAAUUUGGAGAGGAGUUAUAAAGGUUGACUUGGUGGUUAAAGGGAGAAGGAAGAAAUUGUGGAUUCAAAUUUCUUCCACCAACAAAAUCUAACAAAUUGACUAAUAAAAAAAAUAAUAACUUGGAGAACAAAACAAAGAAUUACUAAAUCCUCAAGCCUGAAUGAUUAGAUGGUGUUGAUGGUGAUGAGGGCCAAAUGCAUGAUGAUUCCAUCUGUAACAGACACAUGGUGGUGUGUCCCGA